Long non-coding RNA from Bombyx mori (domestic silkworm), 433 nucleotides. RefSeq lists it as uncharacterized. NCBI's taxonomy places the organism in Eukaryota, Metazoa, Arthropoda, Insecta, Lepidoptera, Bombycidae. The record is from RefSeq and is a predicted model, not a curated record. The transcript has 2 exons.
UUUUUAAUUCAAAUUUAUUAAAAUUUAUUUUCUAUUAUUUAGUUGGAUUUUCUAUAAAAGGGGAUUUUGUUAGUUUUUUUAAACUAUUAUUUAUUUUUUGAGUGACAAAAUUUUGCUAUUCAAGUGUCCGAGUUCCAUGCGGGGACACAUUUUGUUCAGAGCUGAAAAAGAAAAAAAUAUAUUCAGAAAUACAGACUUUCUUAACUCUAUUUUGGACAUUAAAUUUGAGAUGACGAUAUGCUUAUCUUCUUAGGCGGUGAAUCAACAAUCUCAAGAGUACAGUCAAGUAACUGACCGCUGAAGACUCUUUUCAAACGUUAUUGAAAAAGGAAACGCUUUAUCUGAAAACGCCGUGGUUCGAUCCAAAGCCAAUUGGAAAAAUCAUUAGCUUUGUUUAUUCGACCGGAAAUUUUAUUAAAAUAACAUAAUUGAA